ACACCGAAAGGAGGUGAUCCGAGUAGUGAAGACUUUUCGGACGCGUGAGGUGACUGCGCGCUAGCGCAGCCGUCCCGACUUUCCACCCGUCACCUAUCCGGUGCGGACAGGUCGGUCAACGGACGGGUGAGCUGCGAAAUCCAACGCAGUCACCGGGGCCCGCGGGUAUACCCGGCAUCGUCCAACCGGGUAGUCGAUCUCGAUCGGCAGCCCGCGGGCUUCACUGC
Molecule: small RNA, 227 nt
Filed under: Kineosphaera limosa
Lineage: Bacteria; Bacillati; Actinomycetota; Actinomycetes; Micrococcales; Dermatophilaceae
Also listed under: 1 other name
Description: sRNA Ms_IGR-5
Rfam family: Actinobacteria sRNA Ms_IGR-5
Source: RNAcentral